Molecule: ribosomal RNA, 2543 nt
Filed under: Salmonella enterica
Lineage: Bacteria; Pseudomonadati; Pseudomonadota; Gammaproteobacteria; Enterobacterales; Enterobacteriaceae
Description: partial 23S ribosomal RNA
Rfam family: Bacterial large subunit ribosomal RNA
Source: RNAcentral
AGGGCGGGACACGUGGUAUCCUGUCUGAAUAUGGGGGGACCAUCCUCCAAGGCUAAAUACUCCUGACUGACCGAUAGUGAACCAGUACCGUGAGGGAAAGGCGAAAAGAACCCCGGCGAGGGGAGUGAAAAAGAACCUGAAACCGUGUACGUACAAGCAGUGGGAGCCCCACCACCAAAGCAUUUGCUGUACCGCGUUGACGGAGCGAAGCGACGUCAAACCGAUAAAACAGCAGUGUAAAGUGAGCCGCAGGGCGCUUUGCGCGACAGCGCAAAGGCAGGCGGUUUCGCGUAGCGAAAGCGAAUGCUUUGGGGUGGGGUGACUGCGUACCUUUUGUAUAAUGGGUCAGCGACUUAUAUUCUGUAGCAAGGUUAACCGAAUAGGGGAGCCGGAGGGAAACCGAGUCUUAAUUGGGCGUUAAGUUGCAGGGUAUAGACCCGAAACCCGGUGAUCUAGCCAUGGGCAGGUUGAAGGUUGGGUAACACUAACUGGAGGACCGAACCGACUAAUGUUGAAAAAUUAGCGGAUGACCUGUGGCUGGGGGUGAAAGGCCAAUCAAACCGGGAGAUAGCUGGUUCUCCCCGAAAGCUAUUUAGGUAGCGCCUCGUGAAUUCAUCUCCGGGGGUAGAGCACUGUUUCGGCUAGGGGGCCAUCCCGGCUUACCAACCCGAUGCAAACUGCGAAUACCGGAGAAUGUUAUCACGGGAGACACACGGCGGGUGCUAACGUCCGUCGUGAAGAGGGAAACAACCCAGACCGCCAGCUAAGGUCCCAAAGUCAUGGUUAAGUGGGAAACGAUGUGGGAAGGCCCAGACAGCCAGGAUGUUGGCUUAGAAGCAGCCAUCAUUUAAAGAAAGCGUAAUAGCUCACUGGUCGAGUCGGCCUGCGCGGAAGAUGUAACGGGGCUAAACCAUGCACCGAAGCUGCGGCAGCGACACUGUGUGUUGUUGGGUAGGGGAGCGUUCUGUAAGCCUGUGAAGGUGUGUCGUGAGGCAUGCUGGAGGUAUCAGAAGUGCGAAUGCUGACAUAAGUAACGAUAAAGCGGGUGAAAAGCCCGCUCGCCGGAAGACCAAGGGUUCCUGUCCAACGUUAAUCGGGGCAGGGUGAGUCGACCCCUAAGGCGAGGCCGAAAGGCGUAGUCGAUGGGAAACGGGUUAAUAUUCCCGUACUUGGUGUUACUGCGAAGGGGGGACGGAGAAGGCUAUGUUGGCCGGGCGACGGUUGUCCCGGUUUAAGCGUGUAGGUGUGUGUUCCAGGUAAAUCCGGUUCACUUUAACACUGAGGCGUGACGACGAGGCACUACGGUGCUGAAGCAACAAAUGCCCUGCUUCCAGGAAAAGCCUCUAAGCAUCAGGUAACAUCAAAUCGUACCCCAAACCGACACAGGUGGUCAGGUAGAGAAUACCAAGGCGCUUGAGAGAACUCGGGUGAAGGAACUAGGCAAAAUGGUGCCGUAACUUCGGGAGAAGGCACGCUGACACGUAGGUGAAGUGAUUUACUCAUGGAGCUGAAGUCAGUCGAAGAUACCAGCUGGCUGCAACUGUUUAUUAAAAACACAGCACUGUGCAAACACGAAAGUGGACGUAUACGGUGUGACGCCUGCCCGGUGCCGGAAGGUUAAUUGAUGGGGUCAGCGCAAGCGAAGCUCCUGAUCGAAGCCCCGGUAAACGGCGGCCGUAACUAUAACGGUCCUAAGGUAGCGAAAUUCCUUGUCGGGUAAGUUCCGACCUGCACGAAUGGCGUAAUGAUGGCCAGGCUGUCUCCACCCGAGACUCAGUGAAAUUGAACUCGCUGUGAAGAUGCAGUGUACCCGCGGCAAGACGGAAAGACCCCGUGAACCUUUACUAUAGCUUGACACUGAACAUUGAGCCUUGAUGUGUAGGAUAGGUGGGAGGCUUUGAAGUGUGGACGCCAGUCUGCAUGGAGCCGACCUUGAAAUACCACCCUUUAAUGUUUGAUGUUCUAACGUGGACCCGUUACCCGGGUUGCGGACAGUGUCUGGUGGGUAGUUUGACUGGGGCGGUCUCCUCCUAAAGAGUAACGGAGGAGCACGAAGGUUGGCUAAUCCUGGUCGGACAUCAGGAGGUUAGUGCAAUGGCAUAAGCCAGCUUGACUGCGAGCGUGACGGCGCGAGCAGGUGCGAAAGCAGGUCAUAGUGAUCCGGUGGUUCUGAAUGGAAGGGCCAUCGCUCAACGGAUAAAAGGUACUCCGGGGAUAACAGGCUGAUACCGCCCAAGAGUUCAUAUCGACGGCGGUGUUUGGCACCUCGAUGUCGGCUCAUCACAUCCUGGGGCUGAAGUAGGUCCCAAGGGUAUGGCUGUUCGCCAUUUAAAGUGGUACGCGAGCUGGGUUUAGAACGUCGUGAGACAGUUCGGUCCCUAUCUGCCGUGGGCGCUGGAGAACUGAGGGGGGCUGCUCCUAGUACGAGAGGACCGGAGUGGACGCAUCACUGGUGUUCGGGUUGUCAUGCCAAUGGCACUGCCCGGUAGCUAAAUGCGGAAGAGAUAAGUGCUGAAAGCAUCUAAGCACGAAACUUGCCCCGA